This 253-nucleotide ribosomal RNA is filed under the name uncultured bacterium. RNAcentral's name for it is "partial 16S ribosomal RNA". It matches the Rfam family "Bacterial small subunit ribosomal RNA", at positions 524 to 776 of the family's 1533-position model. The record is from RNAcentral.
UACGUAGGGUGCAAGCGUUGUCCGGAAUUAUUGGGCGUAAAGAGCUCGUAGGCGGCUUGUCGCGUCGGUUGUGAAAGCCCGGGGCUUAACCCCGGGUCUGCAGUCGAUACGGGCAGGCUAGAGUUCGGUAGGGGAGAUCGGAAUUCCUGGUGUAGCGGUGAAAUGCGCAGAUAUCAGGAGGAACACCGGUGGCGAAGGCGGCCCCCUGGACCGGUACUGACGCUGAGGCGCGGAAGCGUGGGUAGCAAACGGG